This 253-nucleotide ribosomal RNA is filed under the name uncultured bacterium. RNAcentral's name for it is "partial 16S ribosomal RNA". It matches the Rfam family "Bacterial small subunit ribosomal RNA", at positions 524 to 776 of the family's 1533-position model. The record is from RNAcentral.
UACGGAGGGUGCAAGCGUUAUCCGGAUUUACUGGGUUUAAAGGGCGCGUAGGCGGCCUUCUAAGUCAGACGUGAAAUCCCUCGGCUCAACCGGGGAACUGCGUCUGAGACUGGAAGGCUUGAAUCCGGGAGAGGGAUGUGGAAUUCCUGGUGUAGCGGUGAAAUGCGCAGAUAUCAGGAAGAACACCCGUGGCGAAGGCGGCUCUCUGGGACGGUACUGACGCUGAGACGCGAAAGCGUGGGGAGCGAACAGG